This 518-nucleotide ribosomal RNA is filed under the name uncultured bacterium. RNAcentral's name for it is "partial 16S ribosomal RNA". It matches the Rfam family "Bacterial small subunit ribosomal RNA", at positions 899 to 1397 of the family's 1533-position model. The record is from RNAcentral.
ACUCAAAGGAAUAGACGGGGACUUGCACAAGCGGUGGAUCAUGUGGUUUAAUUCGAUGAUAAACGAAGAACCUUACCAGGGUUUGAAACCUAGCUGAAUAUCUUUGGAAACAUAGAUAGUCGCAAGACAGUUAGGCAGGUGAUGCAUGGCCGUCGUCAGUUCGUGGUUUGAAUUGUUCCCUUAAGUGGGGUAACGAACGCAACCCUCGUUGUCUGUUAUAUUUGUCAGACGAGACUGCCCACGACUUUGAAUACAAGCGAAAGCUUGCGAGCAAAGUCGUGGGAGGAAGGCGAGGAUGACGCCAGGUCAGCAUGUCCCUCUGAUACCCUGGGCUACACACGUGAUACAAUCGCGUCUACAACGGGACGCAAUGUCGAAAGACGGAGCAAAUCCUUAGAAAAGACGCGCCAGUUCGGAUUGAGGUCUGCAACUCGACCUCAUGAAGCCGGAAUCGCUAGUAAUCGCAGGUCAGCUAUACUGCGGUGAAUACGUUCUCAAGUCUUGUACACACCGCCCGU